RNAcentral lists this ribosomal RNA (1278 nucleotides) under Triticum aestivum (bread wheat). RNAcentral describes it as "partial small subunit ribosomal RNA". Lineage: Eukaryota; Viridiplantae; Streptophyta; Magnoliopsida; Poales; Poaceae. The record is from RNAcentral.
AUGAAGAAUAAAAAUGGUCGUCGCAGACGCAAUAAAGCAGCUCGCAAGGAAGCUAGUGCUGGCAAUGGAGAAGGAGACAGGCUUAGCAAGCUGCCCAAUGACCUACUGCUCAACAUUCUUGAGAGGGUGGACACGCUUGAUGCAAUAAGGGUCUGCGUCCUGUCCAAGCAAAUGCUUAAGCUACCCACCAUGCUCUCGCAGUUCUUCCUAAGUUUUGAUUCCAUUCCAGCUUACCAUGAUAAAGCUCGUGUUUCCAGCCUCAGCCUGAGUGACGUGUUUCGAACCAACAGUGCUGUGGCUCAUGUUACAGAUAACAUCUUGACCACAAGGAGCCCGGAGAUCACCAUCAGCAAACUCAAAAUCAGAUUUAUCUUGAUGCAACCUGACUCUCUCACUAUUGGCAAAUCUGUGGCCAGCGCCAUGGCAACACAGAAGGUUGACGCUGCUGAGUUUGAGAUUGUAACAGAGAAGCCUUAUAAGAUCUGCUCUUCCGCCGAUCUCCUCCACCAUGGGAAGCAGUUCAAUGAUUUUGUUUGUGCUUGUCCAAAUGCAUUUGCUGGCCUUAGGCGCCUGUGGCUGCGCAAUAUGAGGUUUGGUGCACUGGACAUUCCCAACAUCCUCACCACAUGCAAGCUCUUGGAGUCUUUGCGUUUAACCCAUUGCGACUCAGGGAUCCAUUCUGUGCUGCAAGUAGAGCAUGCUCAACUUGUUGAGCUCUUGGUUGAUUAUGGGCAGUUUGAGAGAGUUGAGCUGAUAUGUCUACCAAAACUCAAACAUGUGGCCUAUACUAAUUGGUCCUCUUGUGAAGAUCCCAUGUAUUUUGGUUUUGUGCCACAGCUUUCAAAGCUGAGCCUUACUAAAAUUGGCGUCCGUUCAGAAAAGAAUAUUGAGUUAAGUCAGCUACUUGCUAAUGUUCCUUCCAUAAGCGAACUACAUCUGGAUUUUAGAAGUGAAAAGAUUUGGAUUAUCCCAGAAUGCCCGAAACUGCUUGCGUCUGUGCUCAGCAAACUACAGCAUGUGAAUCUGGACCAUCUUCCUGAAGGAUGUGAUUUAGCUUGGACAAUGUUUAUCCUUGAAGCUGCUCCCUCCCUAAAAGAGCUGUGCAUCACAGUAUGGGAUCAUUGGUGCAUAAUUUUCACUGACAAAGAGUUCCGGAAGGAAAAUGGUUUCUGCGAUAAGGCAGACGUGAAGUGGAAGCCAUAUGCCCCUAAUUUCAAGCAUAAGAAUCUGGUUAAGCUCACCAUCUACGGCUUCCAGCCUGAUGACAACUUUGUGUGA